RNAcentral lists this ribosomal RNA (268 nucleotides) under Salmonella enterica subsp. enterica. Its description in RNAcentral is "partial 16S ribosomal RNA". It matches the Rfam family "Bacterial small subunit ribosomal RNA", at positions 1 to 269 of the family's 1533-position model. Lineage: Bacteria; Pseudomonadati; Pseudomonadota; Gammaproteobacteria; Enterobacterales; Enterobacteriaceae. The record is from RNAcentral.
UGAAGAGUUUGAUCAUGGCUCAGAUUGAACGCUGGCGGCAGGCCUAACACAUGCAAGUCGAACGGUAACAGGAAGCAGCUUGCUGCUUCGCUGACGAGUGGCGGACGGGUGAGUAAUGUCUGGGAAACUGCCUGAUGGAGGGGGAUAACUACUGGAAACGGUGGCUAAUACCGCAUAACGUCGCAAGACCAAAGAGGGGGACCUUCGGGCCUCUUGCCAUCAGAUGUGCCCAGAUGGGAUUAGCUAGUUGGUGAGGUAACGGCUCACC